UACGAAGGGGGCGAGCGUUGUUCGGAUUUACUGGGCGUAAAGGGCGCGCAGGCGGCUCAUUUUGUCAGGCGUGAAAGCCCCGGGCUUAACCUGGGAACUGCGUUUGAUACGGAUGGGCUAGAGUUCGGGAGAGGAGAGUGGAAUUCCUGGUGUAGCGGUGGAAUGCGCAGAUAUCAGGAGGAACACCGAUGGCGAAGGCAGGUCUCUGGGCAUUAACUGACGCUGAGGAGCGAAAGCAUGGGGAGCGAACAGG
RNAcentral lists this ribosomal RNA (253 nucleotides) under uncultured bacterium. RNAcentral's name for it is "partial 16S ribosomal RNA". It matches the Rfam family "Bacterial small subunit ribosomal RNA", at positions 524 to 776 of the family's 1533-position model. The record is from RNAcentral.